Molecule: long non-coding RNA, 829 nt
Organism: Lagenorhynchus albirostris (white-beaked dolphin)
Lineage: Eukaryota; Metazoa; Chordata; Mammalia; Artiodactyla; Delphinidae
Exons: 3
Source: RefSeq, a predicted model, not a curated record
GGACUAACGCCUCCACGCUUCUUUUAUGCCUACUGUGUGUUGGCACCUGCUGGCUGUGGGGGACAGAGGCAUGACACUCCUUGCCUCCUGGAACUUUCUGCACAGUGGAGAAGGCAGAUAAUUAUCAGAUUAUCUGAUCAUCAAAUACAAAUGCAUUGUCACGAGCUUUGAUCAGCGCUAAGAAGAAAAGCUACCUGGGACUGCAAGAAUGUUACAGACAUCAGGUGAUGGAAAGAGCCUGGGAGGAUGUACUCCAAAAUUUUAAAGGUGGAGUAAGAUUUCAGUACGCAGGCCUCUCACUGUUGUGGCCUCUCCCGUUGCGGAGCACAGGCUCCGGAUGCACAGGCUCAGCGGCCAUGGCUCACGGGCCCAUACGCUCCGCGGCAUGUGGGAUCUUCCCGGACCGGGGCACGAACCUGCGUCCCCUGCAUCGGCAGCCGGACUCUCAACCGCUGCGCCACCAGGGAAGCCCUGAAUGUUACUUUUUAUGGCAAAAGGAACUUUGCAGUUAUGAUUUAGUUAAGGAUCUUGAGUUGGGAAGAUUAUCCUGGAUUAUCUGAGUGGGCUCAAUGUAAUCACAGGAGUCAUAAGAUGGAGGCAGAAGGAGGUUUGACCACAGAAGAGGAGAAGGCAGAGACAAUGACAGAAACAGACUGAAAGGAUGCACUUUGAAGAUGGAGGAGGGGACCACAAGCUAAGGAAUGCAAGUAACUAGAAGUUGAAAAAGGCAAAGAAACAGCUUCUCCCUGGGAGCCUCCAGCAGGAACCAGCCCUGCCAACACCUUGACUUUAGCCUAGAGACUGACUUCAGACUUCUGACCUCCAGAAC